This 1490-nucleotide long non-coding RNA is filed under the name Marmota monax (woodchuck). The record is from RNAcentral. Lineage: Eukaryota; Metazoa; Chordata; Mammalia; Rodentia; Sciuridae.
GUUAACUUGCUCAGUUUAAUGUAUCAAGUAAUAAGUGAAGUCUACAUUCAAACUCAGGGACACCUGAUUUCAAAGCACUUAACUUCUCUAAUUCAUUUUUAUUUUUAUUUUUUGGAUUUUUGGCUAUUUUAUGCUAUUAAUUAGGUAAUAUUUUACUAGGGAUAGAAGAAACAGAAAGAUGAUAGAUGUGGAUUAAGUGGUGGUAGUACAGGAAGAAAUUGGACAUCUUGUAUGCUGUCAAGUGGUGGAGUUUUAGGGAAAUAUUGGGAAAUUUUUGUUUACUUGCUGAUAUAACAUUGGUAUUACCUUCUGACGUUUUCAUACUUUCUUAAAGCAUUAUUCCACCUUCGUUGGUUACCUACCUGUUUCCCUCAUGGCAAUUAUCCACCAUGGACAUUGCUGGAGCUGCUGUGCUCCCUUUAGCACAUCCCCACUCAGUAUGUUUAGUACUUUCUUGUGACACUAUUAUCUCAUUGCUUAACUGUGUGCAAGAAAUCAAAGGAAAAAAACUCUCAAUCUAGUAGGUUUUUCAUUGCUGCCCUAGCAAUUUAUUGCAAAUGAAUGGCUAAAACAUCACAAAUGUAUUACAUUUUUUAGUCAUAAGUUUGGUGUUGGUCUCAGCAGUCUAAAAUCAAAGUGUCUGCAGGGCUGAGACUGUAUGGGGGAAUCUGUUUUCUGCUCAUUACUAUCAUUUACCACAUUCAGUGCUCUCUGACUGUAGUACGGAGGUCCCUUUCUUCUUGCUAACUGUAAGCUGAGGAACAGUCUCAGCUUCCAGAAGCAGUCUGCAUUCCUUGGCUUUUGGUUCUCUUCUUCCUUCUUUAAAGCCAAUAACAGUUCAAUGAAUCCUUUUCAGAUUUUCUUCUGACCCAUUCUUCUUUCACUUUUAUGGAUUCAGGUGAUUAGAUGGAUCCAUCUAUAUAACAUGAGAUACUCUCCCCAAAUCAAGGUCCUUAACCUUAAUCAAAUAUGCAAUAUCUCCUUUGCCAUGUAACAACAUAUCCAUAGUUUCCUGGGAUUAAGAUAUGGGUAUCUUUGGGAGGCCAUUAUUCUGUUUAAUGCAUCUUCAUCAAACACAAUCAUUUUAGGCUUACACAAGCACUUUAAGAAAUUGUUCCAAUUAAUUGAAGCAGUUCUAUAAAUUUUACUUUCUUAUAAUUAAACUGUAUUUAUUAAUCUCUUGGCCUCUAGUUUUGUUCUUGCAAAUCACAGUAGUUUAACUAUUAAAAAGACAUUUCUCAAACCCUUGCAACAAUGAUUUCCUGGAAAACCUUUUAUUAGUUCAUUGAAGUUAUUCAUAAUAUUAGAGUUAAUUUUGACAUAAAGAUAGAAGCAUGGAAUAUAAUUUGCUCCAGUGCAGUCCACAGAAUUUCCCUUUACCUCCAUUCCUUUCUCCCCCUUUUCCCUUUCCUCUACUGCAUGGGAUCUUUUUUCUGUUUAUUUAUAGUUUUUUAAAAAUUUUAAAUCCUUGUAAAUAUAUAUAAAGGUGA